GUAAUGUCACCAUAUCUGAAAAGCGAAGAUAAUGGCUGCAAGCUCUAGGAAAGAAAGUGGCCGUGAGGUUACAAAGGUCGUGACUGAGUCUUGGUUGAUUAGUUUGCCUUUUCUUGGUCUGGUGUGGCUAACAGGCGACAGAAGGAUGACGGCUUUUUAUUGGGAACGUAGCGUAGAAAGGGGUUCUUCCGCAGUGAAGCAAAUGAUCUAGCCAAUCAUUCUUCUACCGAUUAUCCAAGUUCGGUAUUCUGUA
This 253-nucleotide long non-coding RNA is filed under the name Nicotiana benthamiana. Its description in RNAcentral is "long non-coding RNA (NBEN_LNC024112)". The record is from RNAcentral. Lineage: Eukaryota; Viridiplantae; Streptophyta; Magnoliopsida; Solanales; Solanaceae.